Molecule: long non-coding RNA, 1404 nt
Organism: Equus quagga
Lineage: Eukaryota; Metazoa; Chordata; Mammalia; Perissodactyla; Equidae
Exons: 3
Source: RefSeq, a predicted model, not a curated record
CCCGGGCACGCGGCUCCGUUAGGAUCCCGGGGACCCGCAGCGCGGCGGGAAGGGCGCGCGGGCUCCCGGCUGCCCUCCCGCGCCCACGCGGCGAUCGCCGCCCCCGAGCGGGGACCCGCGCUCCCCAGGGCGGGGGGCGUGGCGAGCCGGCCUGCCGAGCCCCGCGGGGCUCCCUCCGCUGAGCUUCCAGUCGGGCUUCUUUGCUGGCUUGAAGAGCGCUGCCAGGCGCCCCCAGAUUUUGCUCGGGGUCGCUUUUGCCUUCCCCUAAACCAGCCUUCCUCCGCCAGAAGAUGCCGGGCGGGAAAAGAAGCGAUGGGGGAGUGGAAAGGAUUAACUGUUCUAGGCGGAGGGCUUGGCGUGGGAAGAGUACAGCCUGGAUUCUUUCCGAUUUGCUUGUGACCUUGGGCACGUUAUCUGUUUUCUUAGACAAUUCAUCCUUUUUUUCAAAAAACACUGUGGAGCCUUCGGGACAAGGGAAUGCAAAGAGGAAGAGCCAAGUGGAGUGCGGGCGCACGCGUACCACCCCCGAGUAAAAUUUCCAUUUUUUACACGACCUUUGCACAUGCUGGAAUGCCUGGAAUGAUCUUCCCCACCUCUACUCUCCUGAUCCACUCCUGCCCUGCCUUCAGAUCUCCCUAUUACCCCAGCUUUUUCAGAUGGUCAACCUUCCACAACUUAGAACCUGGAGAGUGCUUCUUCUGGAAACGACCCCUGAGAAAGACUUCUUUGCACUUUGUUGGAAGGGACCGUACCACGUUCUCCUCGCUACCCAGAUGGCAGCCAGACUUCAGGGACUUGAACCUUGGGGUCCAUGUCUCCCAGCGGAAAAGCGCUCCUCCAGACUCCUGGAACUACGUAGCAGCCGGAGAUCUAAAGUCAAAGUUGACCCAGGAGAUUCCUCCCCAGAAGCAGACGACGUCUUGAGGUGGACAGCUCUCCCAGGAUCACGGGUCAAGAUCUCCGUCUCCAAUAUGAAACCUUUAUCCCUUUUGCCUAUUUGCUUUUUGCUUUUGCUCCCCAUUAAUGCCUGGGGAGAUAACACUAUAAUUAGGAUUUCACAGUCAAUAGCUACUGCAGAAAACGUAACCAACUGCUGCAUUUGUCACACUAAACCAAAAUCAGUAAAUGAAGAGAGAGACCCCUUAGUUCACCCUAUAAGUAAUUUCACUGGAGUCCCAAAUGCCACGGGAGGCUGAAACUGUUCUGCAGGUCCCUUUUUAUAAAGUUAAAAUACUAAGUCCACAUACCCCCAUUUCUUGCCUCAAUUUAACCUAACCCUGGGAUAGGAAAAUGAGAUACAUUAAAUAUAUAUAAAAAGACACUGCAGGGGCCAGCCCUGUGGCCGAAUGGUUAAGUUUGCCUACUCUGCUUUGGUGGCCCGGGGUUCACUGGUUCAGAUCCUAG